Long non-coding RNA from Acinonyx jubatus (cheetah), 2129 nucleotides. RefSeq lists it as uncharacterized. The transcript is spliced from 4 exons. The record is from RefSeq and is a predicted model, not a curated record. NCBI's taxonomy places the organism in Eukaryota, Metazoa, Chordata, Mammalia, Carnivora, Felidae.
GCGACGUGGGAUCCUCCACUCAGGCCCACAGCCCAAGAUUCCAUAGUCCAAGAUUCCAGAAGAAGAAUCCAGGAUGGGAAGGGUGGGGUCAGAGGGAGAAUGCUGAAAGAAGGUUCUGGAAGAUGUCUUCUUUGGGGCUGGAUGUGUCUUCACACGCUGCCAACCUGCAAGUCCAAACUCGACUGUGACUUCGCCGUGGGCCCAAGUGUCAGCAGUCGAUCUGUUAUCAGUUGAUGGCGGGCUCGUUUCUCAGAAGCCAGGCGCGCGCGCACGUGCCGGAGCCCCGUUCUCUGGUGUGGAUCAUGUCUGCAUCGGUUCUGGAAUAAUACUUUCAGGAGCAUUGUUUCCAUUCCCAGUGAGUCGUGACCGUGCCUGGGUCUCAGUCCUCGUGCUUUUUCCUGAAGGAUGCCUCACAUUCCGAAGACGCGCAGGUUGUAACAGAAUGAGGGUGGGAUUCGAGAAACGUCCGGACCUGAGCAACCCCCACCCCCACCGAGUUUCCCCGAGCCCCAGAGACAGCCAGCCCCCCUCCGCCCGCCCGGGACAGCGCUGCCAGUCUGGGCGUCCCGUGGCCACCGUGUCAUGUGUCCCGGGAGUGGAGAGGGGUGGCCAACAGGCUGAGUCGGCGGACCUUCGCCCUCCUGCAGGGAACAACUCUGGUGACUGAAAAGUAACCCCGUGUACCCACCGUGCUUGUGGGCAUUGAAACCCCCAGGCUCUCUGCCAGGGUCAGCGUGUUGGGGACUUUGGGCCGGUUUUGUACACGGUGAACAUCAGUCCGGGGGCCGCUUUGGUUUUAUGUUGUUUUGUGGGAAGAUUUUGGUUUUGAAGUGAUCUCCGCGCCCGGCGUGGGGCUGGCACUCCCCACCCAGAGGUCCGGGGUCCCAAGCUUCACGGCGCCAGCCAGGCGCCCCGCGGGGCUGCUUUGGUUUUGUGAGUGAGCCUUCCAAGGAGGAGAAAGACACUGUUCAAAUCUGACUCUUUCUUAAGCGGUGAAUCCACUGGAAACUUACACUUCUAUUUCUGGAUAGAAUACAUUUCCCCAACCCCAUCACCGUGGAGGGAAGCAUUUUCUGUCAUGCUUGCUUCCAUUGAUAAACUGAGGUCGUUACACUCUCUUACGUAUUUUCAGCUACAUGUGGGACUUUAGCUUGUGUUACGUUUUAAGUUUUUCCAUUGUCCAUAAAUUCUUCUAAGCCAUAAGUAAUUUUUCACUUCACACCGGAUUUAGCAGUGCAGGGACUUGCUCCCUCCUCUUCCACCUUUGCCUCCUCCCUCCCUCCCUCCUUCCUUCUCUCCCUACCUUCCCCUCCUCUCUUCCCCCACUUUCCUUCUCUUCUCCCCCCUCCCUCCCCUACCUGUUUUUCUCCUCCCCUCCCCUCCCCUUUCCUUCCCUUCCCUCCAUCCCCUCUGGCCACUCUCCUCAUUUCCAUUCCCCUCCCUUCCCCUCCUCUCCCUUUCCCUCUCUUUCCCUCCACUCCUCUCCUCUCUCCUCUCCUCCCCUCCCUUCCUCUCUCUUCCCCUUCCCUGCCUCUCUUCCUCUCCCUUUGCCUACCUGAAGGAUUGGCUGUUAGAGUCUUUCAGACCUUGACACUUGAGAAGCUUGGAGGCGGAUGUCCCCUCAUCGCCAGCUACAGGUUAGGCACUGUUGGCUGAAGAGCCACAGAAGCGACAGGGCCUGCCUCCUCCAGCUGCCUGGCCCCUCUCGUGUCCCAUCGCUGCCAUGUGAGGACAGAGCAAGAAGGAUCCAUCUAUGAACCAGGAAUCAGGUUCACACUGGACACCCGAUAUGCUGGUGCCAUGAUCGUGGACUUCCCAGCCUCCAGAACCACGAGAAAUAAAUUCCUGAUGUUUGUAAGCUGCCAGUGGGUGGGAUUUUUGUUAUAGCAGCCCCGACAGAGUAAGACCACAUCAGUAUGGGCCCAUGGACUCAUGGGGCUGUCCAAGGAGCCCCAGUGCUGUGAACGCUUCCUCCUUUCCCGACCCAGGAAGCUGUUCCAGGCGAUGAGGGGGUGUGGGGCAAGCUGAGGGCAAGGUGCCGGUUAACAGCACGCCCCACCCCGGGGGGGGAUAUGUGUGAUAUUCCUUGCACACUCUCCACUACCCAAAAACAGGAAAGGACAAACAAA